Molecule: small nuclear RNA, 324 nt
Filed under: Pogona vitticeps (central bearded dragon)
Lineage: Eukaryota; Metazoa; Chordata; Lepidosauria; Squamata; Agamidae
Description: 7SK RNA (ENSPVIG00000025104.1)
Rfam family: 7SK RNA
About the family: 7SK was discovered as an abundant small nuclear RNA in the mid-70s but a possible function has only recently been suggested. Two independent studies have found that 7SK RNA binds the CDK9/cyclin T complex (known as elongation factor P-TEFb). P-TEFb activates transcription by phosphorylating the C-terminal domain of RNA polymerase II.
Source: Rfam by way of RNAcentral
GGAUGUGAGGGCGAUCUGGCUGCGACAUCUGUCACCCCAUUGAUCGCCAGGGUUGAUUCGGCUGAUCUGGCUGGCUAGGCGGGUGUCCCCUUCCUCCCUCACCGCUCCAUGUGCGUCCCUCCCGAAGCUGCGCGCUCGGUGGAAGAGGACGACCAUCCCAGAUAGAAGGAGUGUACCGUUCUUCGGUCAAGGGUAUACGAUAGCUCAUUUUAUGUUUUGUUCAUAGUUACACAAAAAUAGUAUCUCAAAUUUGACAAAAUGUGCACCAACAGAAACAGAACCCAAAACUAUGUGACAUAAUAUAGAACAAAAAAGUGGUUAUCU